AGUGAACGCUGGCGGUAGGCCUAACACAUGCAAGUCGAACGGCAGCACAGUAAGAGCUUGCUCUUACGGGUGGCGAGUGGCGGACGGGUGAGGAAUACAUCGGAAUCUACUUUUUCGUGGGGGAUAACGUAGGGAAACUUACGCUAAUACCGCAUACGACCUACGGGUGAAAGCAGGGGAUCUUCGGACCUUGCGCGAUUGAAUGAGCCGAUGUCGGAUUAGCUAGUUGGCGGGGUAAAGGCCAACCAAGGCGACGAUCCGUAGCUGGUCUGAGAGGAUGAUCAGCCACACGGGAAGUGAGAAACGGUCCAGACUCCUACGGGGGGCAGCAGUGGGGAAUAUUGGACAAUGGGCGCAAGCCUGAUCCAGCCAUACCGCGUGGGUGAAGAAGGCCUUCGGGUUGUAAAGCCCUUUUGUUGGGAAAGAAAAGCAGCAGGUUAAUACCCCGCUGUUCUGACGGUACCCAAAGAAUAAGCACCGGCUAACUUCGUG
RNAcentral lists this ribosomal RNA (492 nucleotides) under uncultured bacterium. Its description in RNAcentral is "partial 16S ribosomal RNA". It matches the Rfam family "Bacterial small subunit ribosomal RNA", at positions 29 to 507 of the family's 1533-position model. The record is from RNAcentral.